RNAcentral lists this ribosomal RNA (301 nucleotides) under uncultured bacterium. RNAcentral describes it as "partial 16S ribosomal RNA". It matches the Rfam family "Bacterial small subunit ribosomal RNA", at positions 509 to 807 of the family's 1533-position model. The record is from RNAcentral.
CAGCAGCCACGGUAAUACGGAGGGUGCAAGCGUUAAUCGGAAUUACUGGGCGUAAAGCGCACGCAGGCGGUCUGACAAGUCAGAUGUGAAAUCCCCGGGCUUAACCUGGGAACUGCAUUUGAAACUGCCAGGCUGGAGUCUUGUAGAGGGGGGUAGAAUUCCAGGUGUAGCGGUGAAAUGCGUAGAGAUCUGGAGGAAUACCGGUGGCGAAGGCGGCCCCCUGGACAAAGACUGACGCUCAGGUGCGAAAGCGUGGGGAGCAAACAGGAUUAGAUACCCGAGUAGUCCCUGUCUCUUAUAC